AGAGUUUGAUCCUGGCUCAGAGCGAAGNNGGCAGGNNUACACAUGCAAGUCGAGCGCCGUAGCAAUACGGAGCGGCAGACGGGAGAGUAACACGUGGGAACGUGCCCUUCAGUUCGGAACAACCCAGGGAAACUUGGGCUAAUACCGGAUACGUCCGUAAGGAGAAAGAUUUAUCGCUGAAGGAUCGGCCCGCGUCUGAUUAGCUAGUUGGUGAGGUAACGGCUCACCAAGGCGACGAUCAGUAGCUGGUCUGAGAGGAUGAUCAGCCUCACUGGGACUGAGACACGGCCCAGACUCCUACGGGAGGCAGCAGUGGGGAAUAUUGGACAAUGGGCGCAAGCCUGGUCCAGCCAUGCCGCGUGGGUGAUGAAGGCCCUAGGGUUGUAAAGCCCUUUCGGCGGGGAAGAUAAUGACGGUACCCGCAGAAGAAGCCCCGGCUAACUUCGUGCCAGCAGCCGCGGUAAUACGAAGGGGGCUAGCGUUGCUCGGAAUCACUGGGCGUAAAGCGCACGUAGGCGGCUUUUUAAGUCAGGGGUGAAAUCCUGGAGCUCAACUCCAGAACUGCCCUUGAUACUGAGAAGCUUGAGUCCGGGAGAGGUGAGUGGAACUGCGAGUGUAGAGGUGAAAUUCGUAGAUAUUCGCAAGAACACCAGUGGCGAAGGCGGCUCACUGGCCCGGUACUGACGCUGAGGUGCGAAAGCGUGGGGAGCAAACAGGAUUAGAUACCCUAGUAGUCC
This 737-nucleotide ribosomal RNA is filed under the name uncultured bacterium. RNAcentral describes it as "bacterial SSU rRNA". It matches the Rfam family "Bacterial small subunit ribosomal RNA", at positions 8 to 796 of the family's 1533-position model. The record is from RNAcentral.